Long non-coding RNA from Biomphalaria glabrata, 581 nucleotides. RefSeq lists it as uncharacterized. The record is from RefSeq and is a predicted model, not a curated record. The transcript has 2 exons. NCBI's taxonomy places the organism in Eukaryota, Metazoa, Mollusca, Gastropoda, Planorbidae.
GGGGUGUUUGUGUCUAAAAUGAAUUUUUAAAAAUGUCUUUAAGUUACUGUCAUUUGUUCUGAAUGUCUUUGUGUGAAACAAUUUGUUCUGGAUGUCUUUGUGAGAAUUUCUUUCUUAUAAAUAUCUUUCAUAUGAAUGUUUUUGUGUAAAUGUCUGUUAAUAAUGGCUUUAUUAUGAAUGUCUUUGAAGUGAAUGUGUUUGUGUUAAUGUCAUUGUGUAAAUGUUACCAUUAUGAAUGUUUGUUAUGCUGUAUUUUAGUUUCGUAUCUAGGUUGUAGCUUUUGUAUGUUUAGUCAAUGUCUGCAAACUAAACACCUCAAAUCAAAUGGAAUCAUUUGGUGAAGAAAAGAUGCAAGCAGUUGGUGGAUAAACUCUAUUUUCAAAGGCAAUGUCUUUAGAGAAGUUGAGCCUCGUAAAAAUGUCUUCGCUGAUAGGACCAAGAUAGGCAAGAGAGAUCAAGGUCAAGUUUAAAGACCAACUGUUGUUUAGAACUUAGGAUACUCUGAGAACAGUCGUGAAAGAAAAAAAACAUGUUAGAUUAGCUCUUCUAUUAAUUAGAAAAUAUAUUGUGUAAUUUUCUGA